Long non-coding RNA from Vicia villosa (hairy vetch), 481 nucleotides. RefSeq lists it as uncharacterized. The record is from RefSeq and is a predicted model, not a curated record. The transcript has 2 exons. NCBI's taxonomy places the organism in Eukaryota, Viridiplantae, Streptophyta, Magnoliopsida, Fabales, Fabaceae.
UCGGGGAAGAGGAAAACAAUAAAACCACCAACAAUAAAGUAUAAUAAUAAUUUGAUUAAAAUUUUAAAAUGUCAAACAAAUUUGUAAUUGCUUUAUUGUUGGUGGUGGUGUGCUUUGUAACGGUUCAAGGUCAGAAUAUUACCUAUAAUGCAAAUUCAGGUGAAGUUAGUGUGUCUCAUGAAGAUUGCUAUGAUUAUUGCACUGGUGAUAGUAAAUUGCCCGCAUGGCUCAUAGACUUUUUGUGUAGAGAGCUUUGUCAUUUCUUCAAUCAUGUCCGGAUCUUUUGAUCGUAUUGGCGCAAGAAAGCAUGGUUGAAUUGGUGCUCCGACAGGUUAUUCUGGCCAAGCUACAUAUGCUUAUAGAGCAUAAUGGAUUCAACCAAAAACACAAGUUUAACCUAUCUCAUCAUCCUCUUUCCCCUCGUUUUCAUCAAUUAAUUUGUAAACUAUUAUAUAUAUAAAGUCAUUUGUUAUAAGUUAAA